This 433-nucleotide ribosomal RNA is filed under the name uncultured bacterium. Its description in RNAcentral is "partial 16S ribosomal RNA". It matches the Rfam family "Bacterial small subunit ribosomal RNA", at positions 29 to 507 of the family's 1533-position model. The record is from RNAcentral.
AACGAACGCUGGCGGCAUGCCUGACACAUGCAAGUCGAACGAGACCUUCGGGUCUAGUGGCGCACGGGUGCGUAACGCGUGGGAACCUGCCCUUAGGUUCGGAAUAACUCCCCGAAAGGGGUGCUAAUACCGGAUAAUGUCUUCGGACCAAAGAUUUAUCGCCUUUGGAUGGGCCCGCGUUGGAUUAGCUAGUUGGUAGGGUAAAAGCCUACCAAGGCGACGAUCCAUAGCUGGUCUGAGAGGAUGAUCAGCCACACUGGGACUGAGACACGGCCCAGACUCCUACGGGAAGCAGCAGUGGGGAAUAUUGGACAAUGGGCGAAAGCCUGAUCCAGCAAUGCCGCGUGAGUGAUGAAGGCCUUAGGGUUGUAAAGCUCUUUUACCCGGGAUGAUAAUGACAGUACCGGGAGAAUAAGCUCCGGCUAACUCCGUG